Molecule: long non-coding RNA, 306 nt
Organism: Rosa chinensis
Lineage: Eukaryota; Viridiplantae; Streptophyta; Magnoliopsida; Rosales; Rosaceae
Exons: 3
Source: RefSeq, a predicted model, not a curated record
AGAGGAGGAGGAAGAAGAAGAAGAGGGAGACGAGAAUAAGUUGAUGCUCGAUUUGAACAAAAAUUGAGUAAACUGAUCAUCCCAGGGGUAUUGUUCGUGCUUCAGUUUCGGGUUUGAGUGAUUGAUUGGAGGAGGUUGAAGGUGAUGAACUAAACUGAUAGUUGAAAAGUGAUUGUCUUAGCGCUGUAUUAGAUUCUCCCAUAUUUCCUGAGCUUUGCCACAAACAACAGUCAAAUUUUAGUACAUGGUUUCUUUUUAGUUUUCUAUUUUCAUUUUUUAUGUUAUUACCUAAUUAUGCAAUGUUUG